This 700-nucleotide ribosomal RNA is filed under the name uncultured bacterium. Its description in RNAcentral is "bacterial SSU rRNA". It matches the Rfam family "Bacterial small subunit ribosomal RNA", at positions 94 to 828 of the family's 1533-position model. The record is from RNAcentral.
AGUGGCGGACGGGUGAGUAACGCGUAAGAAUCUAACUUCAGGACGGGGACAACAGUUGGAAACGACUGCUAAUACCCGAUGUGCCGCAAGGUGAAACCUAAUUGGCCUGAAGAAGAGCUUGCGUCUGAUUAGCUAGUUGGUGGGGUAAAGGCCUACCAAGGCGACGAUCAGUAGCUGGUCUGAGAGGAUGAGCAGCCACACUGGGACUGAGACACGGCCCAGACUCCUACGGGAGGCAGCAGUGGGGAAUUUUCCGCAAUGGGCGAAAGCCUGACGGAGCAACGCCGCGUGAGGGAGGAAGGUCUUUGGAUUGUAAACCUCUUUUCUCAAGGAAGAAGUUCUGACGGUACUUGAGGAAUCAGCCUCCGCUAACUCCGUGCCAGCAGCCGCGGUAAUACGGGGGAGGCAAGCGUUAUCCGGAAUUAUUGGGCGUAAAGCGUCCGCAGGUGGUCAGCCGAGUCUGCCGUCAAAUCAGGUUGCUUAACGACCUAAAGGCGGUGGAAACUGGCAGACUAGAGAGCAGUAGGGGUAGCAGGAAUUCCCAGUGUAGCGGUGAAAUGCGUAGAGAUUGGGAAGAACAUCGGUGGCGAAAGCGUGCUACUGGGCUGUAUCUGACACUCAGGGACGAAAGCUAGGGGAGCGAAAGGGAUUAGAUACCCCUGUAGUCCUAGCCGUAAACGAUGGAUACUAGGCGUGGCUU